CCUUUCUGUGUUCUUUUAUUUUUUCACGUGAUAAAUAAAUCACUCCCCCAUUCAUUUGGUUUCUCUCUCCAACGCUUACAGUAAUACACUCACGCAGCAUUAAACGUAUCUCGAUUCCCAUCAUCAGCCCUUUCCCCAAUUCAAUUUUCCCUAACCUAAAUCAAUCAAGCGUGAUUCUUCUCCACCAUCUCCCCAGAACUGGCGAUCCAAAUAUUUGGUUUUAUUCGAUUGCAGCGCCCCUCACCCUUACCCGAGGUCGCCAUUUAUUUGAUUGGAGUCGUCCCUCACCCUUACCCGAUGCCCUAAUAAAGCUACUGCUAUUUGAACAUCUGAUUCUGAUACAAACAGUUUUUUUCUAAGUGAAAUCAUGUCCAUGAUGAGUUGUAUUGAUGGAUUUUUGAAGAGAUUUGACUCUUAAAGCUAGACAUAUUCCUGGCUAAAUUUAUCAAUUGUAAUAACAGACGAUAGGUUCAAAGAUUUUGUAUGUAUGAAAGGGCACAAAAGUAUGGAGAGUGUAAGCGGAUCUUGAACCAUUGAUUUGAGGAGAAAUGAAAGGAUCAAAUCUUGAAAAUUAAGGUUUCAUGUUUUCAGUUGUCUUAGAAUGUUAUCAUUUCGGUAAACUACCAGGAUCAAACAGUUUUGGGAUAACAUUGAUAAUGAGCAAUUUGACUGUGGUUGAUGCUAAAGUCCUAGAAUGGAAUAAACAAUGAGUUAAUGCAGCAGAUAGUUUUUCCUAAUAUUUCAAGAAAGAUGAUGUGCUGGGGCUGAACAAAUGGUCUGUGGCUCCUUUCCCUAUUCCUGUGGUCCAGUGGUCUGUGGCUCUGGAGAUGUGAAGAAGCUUAGUGGUUCUUUGUGGAUCAUAUAACCAUGGAAUUGCAUUUUACUUUGCACCCCUAUUUUGAAAUAAGUGCAUCCAUAUGAGGAUAAACAUGCUUAGAUUUGAAAUUGUUAGAUUUAGUUCUUGGUUAUGCUAUGUACAUUUAUUUUUUGUCAAAUUAUAAGGUAAAAAUCCCACAGGGAUUGUAAAUGUUAAUAAUUUCAUGUUAAUCUCUUUUUUAAAUUAACUAGUACUUUUACCCGUGCGAUGCACGGGGGAUAUUCA
This is a long non-coding RNA of Lotus japonicus, 1102 nucleotides long. RefSeq lists it as uncharacterized. The transcript has 5 exons. NCBI's taxonomy places the organism in Eukaryota, Viridiplantae, Streptophyta, Magnoliopsida, Fabales, Fabaceae. The record is from RefSeq and is a predicted model, not a curated record.